RNAcentral lists this ribosomal RNA (709 nucleotides) under Faecalibacterium prausnitzii. RNAcentral's name for it is "bacterial SSU rRNA". It matches the Rfam family "Bacterial small subunit ribosomal RNA", at positions 426 to 1161 of the family's 1533-position model. The record is from RNAcentral. Lineage: Bacteria; Bacillati; Bacillota; Clostridia; Eubacteriales; Oscillospiraceae.
UAAACUCCUGUUGUUGAGGAAGAUAAUGACGGUACUCAACAAGGAAGUGACGGCUAACUACGUGCCAGCAGCCGCGGUAAAACGUAGGUCACAAGCGUUGUCCGGAAUUACUGGGUGUAAAGGGAGCGCAGGCGGGAGAACAAGUUGGAAGUGAAAUCCAUGGGCUCAACCCAUGAACUGCUUUCAAAACUGUUUUUCUUGAGUAGUGCAGAGGUAGGCGGAAUUCCCGGUGUAGCGGUGGAAUGCGUAGAUAUCGGGAGGAACACCAGUGGCGAAGGCGGCCUACUGGGCACCAACUGACGCUGAGGCUCGAAAGUGUGGGUAGCAAACAGGAUUAGAUACCCUGGUAGUCCACACCGUAAACGAUGAUUACUAGGUGUUGGAGGAUUGACCCCUUCAGUGCCGCAGUUAACACAAUAAGUAAUCCACCUGGGGAGUACGACCGCAAGGUUGAAACUCAAAGGAAUUGACGGGGGCCCGCACAAGCAGUGGAGUAUGUGGUUUAAUUCGACGCAACGCGAAGAACCUUACCAAGUCUUGACAUCCCUUGACGAUGCUGGAAACAGCAUUUCUCUUCGGAGCAAGGAGACAGGUGGUGCAUGGUUGUCGUCAGCUCGUGUCGUGAGAUGUUGGGUUAAGUCCCGCAACGAGCGCAACCCUUAUGGUCAGUUACUACGCAAGAGGACUCUGGCCGGACUGCGUUUGACAA